This 518-nucleotide ribosomal RNA is filed under the name uncultured bacterium. RNAcentral describes it as "bacterial SSU rRNA". It matches the Rfam family "Bacterial small subunit ribosomal RNA", at positions 8 to 518 of the family's 1533-position model. The record is from RNAcentral.
AGAGUUGAUCAUGGCUCAGGAUGAACGCUAGCGACAGGCUUAACACAUGCAAGUCGAGGGGCAGCACGGGAGUAGCAAUACAACUGGUGGCGACCGGCGCACGGGUGAGUAACGCGUAUGCAACCUACCUAUCAGAGGGGAAUAACCCGGCGAAAGUCGGACUAAUACCGCAUAAAACAGGGGCACCGCAUGGUGAUAUUUGUUAAAGAAAUUCGCUGAUAGAUGGGCAUGCGUUCCAUUAGGUAGUUGGUGAGGUAACGGCUCACCAAGCCGACGAUGGAUAGGGGAACUGAGAGGUUGGUCCCCCACACUGGUACUGAGACACGGACCAGACUCCUACGGGAGGCAGCAGUGAGGAAUAUUGGUCAAUGGGCGAGAGCCUGAACCAGCCAAGUCGCGUGAAGGAAGAAGGAUCUAUGGUUCGUAAACUUCUUUUGCAGGGGAAUAAAGUGCGGGACGUGUCCUGUUUUGUAUGUACCCUGAGAAUAAGGAUCGGCUAACUCCGUGCCAGCAGCGGC